AGUAACACGUGGGCAACCUGCCCUGGAGCGGGGGAUAACAUCUGGAAACAGGUGCUAAUACCGCAUAACAACGAAAACCACAUGGUUUUCGUUUCAAAGAUGGUUUCGGCUAUCACUUCAGGAUGGGCCCGCGGUGCAUUAGCUAGUUGGUAAGGUAACGGCUUACCAAGGCAAUGAUGCAUAGCCGAGUUGAGAGACUGAUCGGCCACAAUGGAACUGAGACACGGUCCAUACUCCUACGGGAGGCAGCAGCC
RNAcentral lists this ribosomal RNA (254 nucleotides) under uncultured Lactobacillus sp. Its description in RNAcentral is "partial 16S ribosomal RNA". It matches the Rfam family "Bacterial small subunit ribosomal RNA", at positions 109 to 355 of the family's 1533-position model. Lineage: Bacteria; Bacillati; Bacillota; Bacilli; Lactobacillales; Lactobacillaceae. The record is from RNAcentral.